This 492-nucleotide ribosomal RNA is filed under the name uncultured bacterium. RNAcentral's name for it is "partial 16S ribosomal RNA". It matches the Rfam family "Bacterial small subunit ribosomal RNA", at positions 29 to 507 of the family's 1533-position model. The record is from RNAcentral.
AGUGAACGCUGGCGGUAGGCCUAACACAUGCAAGUCGAACGGCAGCACCGUAAUAGCUUGCUCUUACGGGUGGCGCGCGGCGGACGGGUGCGGAAUACACCGGAAUCUACUUUUUCGUGGGGGCUAACGUCGGGAAACUUACGCUAAUACCGCAUACGACCUACGGGUGAAAGCAGGCGAUCUUCGGACCUUGCGCGAUUGAAUGAGCCGAUGUCGGAUUAGCUAGUUGGCGGGGUAAAGGCCCAUCAAGGCGGCGAUCCGUAGCUCGCCUGAGAGGAUGAUCAGCCAGACUGUAACUGAGACAGGGCACACACUCCUGCACGAGGAAGCAGCGGGGAAUAUUACGGAAGGGGCGAGAGCCUAAUCCAGCCAUACCGGGUGGGUGAAGAAGGACUUCGGGUUGUAGAACCAUGUUGGUGGGAGAGAAAAGCAGCAGUUUAAUACGCCGCUGUACUGACGGUACCCAAAGAAUAAGCACCGGCUAACUUCGUG